AUUGAUUUUGAAGGAAAAUGGCGACCUCUUUCAUGCAGAUUUAAAGAAGAGUAACAGUCCUGACUAUCAGUAGAGUUCCAGUCCAGUCCAUGAUGUGAUGCCCCUAGAGAUGAAAGCAUGGGGAACAAGCUGUGUGCCCCGCUCUGGAAGAAACAUCCAAGGGAUGGAGACUCACCGUUUAACACUAAGAAGGAUGCUCAUUU
Long non-coding RNA from Lingula anatina, 203 nucleotides. The record is from RefSeq and is a predicted model, not a curated record. Lineage: Eukaryota; Metazoa; Brachiopoda; Lingulata; Lingulida; Lingulidae.